CUACACAGCCAUAUCACCCUGCAGCCCAAGACUGGUUGCCCACUGAAGCUAAGCAGGGUUGAGCCUGGUCAGUACCUGGAUGGGAGACCUCCUGGGAAAACUAGGUUGCUGUUGGA
This 116-nucleotide ribosomal RNA is filed under the name Sinocyclocheilus anshuiensis. The record is from RNAcentral. Lineage: Eukaryota; Metazoa; Chordata; Actinopteri; Cypriniformes; Cyprinidae.